GAUGAACGCUAGCGGCAGGCCUAACACAUGCAAGUCGAGGGAGAAGCCCUUUCGGGGGCAGAAACCGGCGCACGGGUGCGUAACGCGUAUGCAACCUACCUUUCACAGGGGGAUAGCCCGAAGAAAUUUGGAUUAAUACCCCAUAAUAUUGUUGGAUGGCAUCAUCUGGCAAUUAAAGCUACGACGGUGGAAGAUGGGCAUGCGUCCUAUUAGCUAGUUGGAGUGGUAACGGCACCCCAAGGCUACGAUAGGUAGGGGUCCUGAGAGGGAGAUCCCCCACACUGGUACUGAGACAGGGACCAGACUCCUACGGGAGGCAGCAGUGAGGAAUAUUGGUCAAUGGUCGGAAGACUGAACCAGCCAUGCCGCGUGCAGGAAGAAUGCCUUAUGGGUUGUAAACUGCUUUUAUAUGGGAAGAAUAAGGCGUACGAGUACGUUGAUGAC
RNAcentral lists this ribosomal RNA (444 nucleotides) under Capnocytophaga gingivalis. RNAcentral describes it as "bacterial SSU rRNA". It matches the Rfam family "Bacterial small subunit ribosomal RNA", at positions 28 to 473 of the family's 1533-position model. Lineage: Bacteria; Pseudomonadati; Bacteroidota; Flavobacteriia; Flavobacteriales; Flavobacteriaceae. The record is from RNAcentral.